AGAGUUUGAUCAUGGCUCAGAGCGANNNCUGGCGGCGUGCUUAACACAUGCAAGUCGAACGCGCAGCAUUCUGUAGCAAUACAGGGUGUGGGCGCGUGGCGAACGGGUGCGUAACACGUGGAUAACCUUCCUUGAGGUGGGGAAUAACCCAGUGAAAAUUGGGCUAAUACCGCAUAACAUCGCGAUGGCACAUGCUGAUGCGAUCAAAGGCGCAAGUCGCCACAAGAGGGAUCCGCGGCCGAUUAGCUUGUUGGCGAGGUAAUGGCUCACCAAGGCAAUGAUCGGUAGCCGGACUGAGAGGUUGGCCGGCCACACUGGAACUGAGACACGGUCCAGACUCCUACGGGAGGCAGCAGUGGGGAAUCUUGCACAAUGGACGAAAGUCUGAUGCAGCAACGCCGCGUGGGGGAUGAAGCUUCUCGGAGUGUAAACCCCUUUCGACCCGGAAGAAUGCCCGCAAGGGUAUGACGGUACGGGUAUAAGAAGCCCCGGCUAACUACGUGCCAGCAGCCGCGGUAAUACGUAGGGGGCCAGCGUUGCUCGGAAUUACUGGGCGUAAAGGGUCCGUAGGCGGUGUAGCAAGUCGAUAGUGAAAUCUCUGGGCUUAACCCAGAGGCUGCUAACGAAACUGCUGUGCUAGAGUGUGAGAGAGGCGAGUGGAAUUACGGGUGUAGCGGUGAAAUGCGUAGAUAUCCGUAGGAACAUCCGAGGCGAAGGCGGCUCGCUGGAUCACAACUGACGCUGAGGGACGAAAGCUAGGGGAGCAAACAGGAUUAGAUACCCUAGUAGUCC
RNAcentral lists this ribosomal RNA (792 nucleotides) under uncultured bacterium. RNAcentral describes it as "bacterial SSU rRNA". It matches the Rfam family "Bacterial small subunit ribosomal RNA", at positions 8 to 796 of the family's 1533-position model. The record is from RNAcentral.